UUCCCCCAACUGGUUUCUGAUCUUAGGAAGGGGACGGCUCCAGAAAUAGCCCUGUCCCUGGUUCUUCAAGCUAAGACAUGCCAACCUAAGGCCUCCUGCAUCCGGAAUGGGCACGGUUCCAGGGGAGGGAGGUGGUUUUCUACCUCUAUGCAGUGGGCGGUCUUGGCAGCGGGCAGGUGCAGCCAGCCUCCCUGGGAAAAAAAAAGUCUCAACUGUAGAAAUUGGAUGGCUCCCGAGAUGUGUUUUAAGUCACUGCAGUCGUUACACAAGGUAAGAUACCCUUUGUUCCCGUGUCAUAAACGGUCCGCUAAGGAGUGUUCAAAGACCUACGGCCCUCCGACUUGGCCGUAAAAUUAAGACUAAUCUCCAGACCGCUUGCUCUGGGCUUGGUUGUCAACUGCGUGGCCAGCCCAAGCGUUGAAGUGCUUUGUGUGUGUGCUAAUUUUUGAUAAGCUCCCAUAAAGCCAGGUUGCUCCUAAUAACAGGCUUCUCGUGUGCCCAUGAAGGACCACGAGCUGGGCUAACCACAAACCUCAAAAGAACUAUUCUGUUGUUUGAGGUUUCCAGAAAAAAGAAAGCUCUUUUAUUCUUGCCAUUAGAGUAAAGGUCUUCGGAAAACCUCAUUUUUCAAAGAGUCUCUGGCGUGACCGCACAGGUCAUAAACACCCCUGGCCUAUGUAUUUUCCUGCUUUCUUUUUAAGGCAUGUCAUGCACUUCAGAAUUACACCUUAAGAGACACAUACAGCUGGAGGAGUGACCCCACAUAACAUUCCCCAAAUAAUCCCUGUUAAAUACAGUAUCAUCUUUUUUGGCUAGAUCUUUCCUGAGCAUCUCAUUCGUUGUAUCUAAAGAGCUGCCUUUCUCUCUUUACAACGUGUCUGCAUGGACUUGGGAGGAGUAAGAACGGGGAGAGAGAGUCUGGAUCAAGUCAAGACUGAAUCGUCAGGUCCUGGGAAGGUGCCACCACUUCUCAAGGAGUCCAGCUUGUUGCUUCCAAGUGAAGUCCCCUCCUUGGAGGAACAAGUGCUUUCAAGAAAGCUCACAGUGGGCCAUAGCCUGUCACCCACUUUCUGCUGCCACCCAGCCACGCAGCUCAAAGGGGUGCCAUUAUUCAGCACAGCUAUGUCAGCAGUGGGUGUGGGGCCUGAGCUGUGCCCCCUGCCCCUUCACCCCCCACACACACACACAAAGAAGUAGGUUGAAGCCCUAAGCCCUGGUGCCAGCGAAUGUGGCCUUAUUGGAAAUGUGAUCAAGUUCAGACCCAUCAACGGUGUCAGAUGAGCCCUGGGUCCAUGAGCUGUGUCCUUGGGAGAAGAUGCAGAUGGGGCUCUGACAGCCCAGGAAGACAAGGCUGGUAGGCAGCCACCAGAAACCAGGGAGAGGCCAGCAAGGAGCUUCCUCCAAAACCCCAAGAAGGAACCAGUGGGGUGGACACCUCGAUUUCAGACUUCUGGCAUCCACAAGUGUGGGGCACUAAUUCUGUUGUUGCUGUUGUUGUUGUUUUAUGGCCACACCUGUGAGAUAUGCAAGUUCCCCAGCCAGGGAUUGAAUUUGAGCUGCAGCUGUGACCUGCAGCACAGCCAGAUCCCUUAAACCACUGAGCCGGGCUGGGGAUCAAACCUGAGCCUCGGCAGCAACCUGGAGCUACUGUAGUUGGAUCCAUUCCUUUCCUUUCCUUUGUCUUUUGAGGGCCACACCCCCAGCAUAUGGAAGUUCCCAGGCUAGAAGUUGAAUCGGAGCUGCAGCUGCCAGUCUAUGCCACAGCCACAGCAACUCAGGAUCUGAAAUGUGUCUUUGACCUACACCACGGCUCACCGCAACGCUGGAUCCUUAACCCACUGAGCGGGGCCAGCAUCCUCAUGGAUACCAGUUGAGUGCAUAACCACCUAGCAAUAGGGGGAACUCCGUGCCAUUGGAUUCUUAAUCACUGCACUGCAGCAAGAACUCCUAAUUUCUGUUGCUUUAAACCACCCGGUCUGCAGUGCUUUGGGACAGCAGCCAUUCAACACAAAUGCCCUGAGUGAGACCCUGAAAGGCCCCUUUUGAUCACUUGCAUAUGCAAAAGCAGCCGCCUAGCUGGUCUGCGUCCUUCUUUGCUAAUCUUUGCAUCUUUCAUCUCAUUUGAGCUUCAGAUCUGAGGAAGACCCAGCAAGGCCCUGUUGGGAUUGAACUGGCUCCGCAGGGAACAAAACGAGAU
Molecule: long non-coding RNA, 2197 nt
Filed under: Sus scrofa (pig)
Lineage: Eukaryota; Metazoa; Chordata; Mammalia; Artiodactyla; Suidae
Description: lncRNA (ENSSSCG00070010657.1)
Source: RNAcentral